This 490-nucleotide ribosomal RNA is filed under the name uncultured bacterium. RNAcentral describes it as "partial 16S ribosomal RNA". It matches the Rfam family "Bacterial small subunit ribosomal RNA", at positions 30 to 507 of the family's 1533-position model. The record is from RNAcentral.
AUUGAACGCUGGCGGCAGGCCUAACACAUGCAAGUCGAACGGUAACAGGAAGAAGCUUGCUUCUUUGCUGACGAGUGGCGGACGGGUGAGUAAUGUCUGGGAAACUGCCUGAUGGAGGGGGAUAACUACUGGAAACGGUAGCUAAUACCGCAUAACGUCGCAAGACCAAAGAGGGGGACCUUCGGGCCUCUUGCCAUCGGAUGUGCCCAGAUGGGAUUAGCUAGUAGGUGGGGUAACGGCUCACCUAGGCGACGAUCCCUAGCUGGUCUGAGAGGAUGACCAGCCACACUGGAAAUGAGACACGGUCCAGACUCCUACGGGAGGCAGCAGUGGGGAAUAUUGCACAAUGGGCGCAAGCCUGAUGCAGCCAUGCCGCGUGUAUGAAGAAGGCCUUCGGGUUGUAAAGUACUUUCAGCGGGGAGGAAGGGAGUAAAGUUAAUACCUUUGCUCAUUGACGUUACCCGCAGAAGAAGCACCGGCUAACUCCGUG